GAUGAACGCUGGCGGCGUGCCUAAUACAUGCAAGUCGAGCGAACGGACGAGAAGCUUGCUUCUCUGAUGUUAGCGGCGGACGGGGGAGUAACACGUGGAUAACCUACCUAUAAGACUGGGAUAACUUCGGGAAACCGGAGCUAAUACCGGAUAAUAUUUUGAACCGCAUGGUUCAAAAGUGAAAGACGGUCUUGCUGUCACUUAUAGAUGGAUCCGCGCUGCAUUAGCUAGUUGGUAAGGUAACGGCUUACCAAGGCAACGAUGCAUAGCCGACCUGAGAGGGUGAUCGGCCACACUGGAACUGAGACACGGUCCAGACUCCUACGGGAGGCAGCAGUAGGGAAUCUUCCGCAAUGGGCGAAAGCCUGACGGAGCAACGCCGCGUGAGUGAUGAAGGUCUUCGGAUCGUAAAACUCUGUUAUUAGGGAAGAACAUAUGUGUAAGUAACUGUGCACAUCUUGACGGUACCUAACCAGAAAGCCACGGCUAACUACGUG
RNAcentral lists this ribosomal RNA (497 nucleotides) under uncultured bacterium. RNAcentral's name for it is "partial 16S ribosomal RNA". It matches the Rfam family "Bacterial small subunit ribosomal RNA", at positions 28 to 507 of the family's 1533-position model. The record is from RNAcentral.